This 6477-nucleotide long non-coding RNA is filed under the name Daucus carota (carrot). Its description in RNAcentral is "long non-coding RNA (DCAR_LNC003295)". The record is from RNAcentral. Lineage: Eukaryota; Viridiplantae; Streptophyta; Magnoliopsida; Apiales; Apiaceae.
GCACUUCUCAGCUUCCUUUUGAUACUGUGAAGCGAGCCUUCGUGCCUCUCCAAAUGUAAUAUUCAUAUGGUGCAUGUUCUCCUCACCAACAAGUUCUUGUAGCUUCAACUCCUCAGUUAGAAGGUCAACAAAUUGUUUCUGCAUCUCUUCAUUUAGUUCAGGAUCAUUCUUCCCACAAUCUGAAGAGUCGAGCCGCAAGGACAUAACCAUUACAUAAUAUAUUAGAAACAGAAAGUUUCCAAAGUUCAUUUGUACAAGGAAUGCGGACUAUACUCAAGAAAAGUUGCAGGAUCUCUUCUACAAGUAAAAAACUGACACUAGUAAAAGGCCAUCAUAUAGACCAUAACUCCUGCUUAUACAUGCAUAUCAAGACACUGAAGUUGAAAAGGCACUAAUAAAAUUAAAACUGACUGUUCCAACAUUCAAAAUUAGAGGCAGUAAUCAGCUUCCUUGAAGCUAAACUUUUUCCCACAAGUAUUCACUUGCAGUAUAAUAUUCUAGUAACAUUGGGGGCCAAACGCAUAACGAUCACACAAAUAAUAAAUUUGUAGCAAAAAAGAAGAUAUUCCCAAAAAACUGGAGUAUUCAUUCAAUUUAUCUCUCACACAAACUUUCUAGAUCACUGUAGGCACAGAACCAUAGGUAACUUUAACUAUAGAGAUUUACAAUAAAAAGAAAACAUUAAUAACCAAAUGUUCAGCUCGAAUCAACAACCAUAAACCUUAAGUCAUGGAUUUGAAUUGUCAUCAAAUAUACUCCCUAGUAUUCAAGAAAUGGGGACUAUACUCAAGAAAAGUAAAAAAAGAUCUUGUGGAAGUGGAAAAUUGAUACUUUAAAAGGGGUUGCUUAGACAUGCCUAUAGAGACAGUGAGGUUGGAAGAAUACUAAUAAAAUUAAAUUGGCUGUUCCAACAAUCAAGUCAGAGGCAUUAAUUAGCUCCCUGUGCACCAAAACUCCAAUCCAAGAAUGGUUUCUACAAUCCACGAGUCUUCAAUCGCAGUUUAAUAUGCUAGUGCUAUUGGGGGGCCAAAUACAUAACAAUCUUAUAAAUACUGCAAAUGAAGCAAAAAGAUGACACUUCCGAAAACUGGAGUAUUUAUUCAAUUUAUCUCACACAGACUUUUCCGGAUCGCUCUAGGCACAAAAGCAUAGGUAGAUCAACAAUAGCAAUUUACAAAAAAAAAAGAAGAAGAAGAAGAAGAAGAAGAAAAGAGAAGAACAUCAAUAACCAAAUGUUCGGACUUCGGCUCAAGUAACAAUAACGACAAAAUUAGUCAUGGAUUCAAAUUUCAUAAGAUACACUUUCUUCGUCCCACUCAAACUGGCUUAUUUGGAUUUCUUGGUCGAAUUGACUGUUUUUGUUAUUCAAAUCAUGUGAUAUAUACAUUUUACAAAAACAAUGGUUUAAAAUAUUUAAUUUGAAAUUAAAAAAAAAGGAAGCUAGUUUGAGUUGGACAAAGGGAGUAAUUGGCAUACUCUAAUUUUAAAUGCCUUUCCUAAUAAAUUUGAACAGGUUUUACCAGUUGAUAGGGUGGAUGGAUUAUAUUAAAUACCAAGUCCAAAAGUAUUACAACACCCAAGCAUCUGACCGACUAAAUAUUAGCUCCCGUCCACACACUUUUCACUUCUUUUCAUCUAAAGCUGAACUGCCACAUUUACAUGUAUGCAUUCUUCUACACAGGAUACUUCGACAAAAAGAAAUUAACAUAUAUAAGGUCGGGUUUCGCGUGAUGGUUGGGUGUUUCUUGAUAUCCGCUAGAUCAGGGGUUUAAAACCCCUGAAGCGACCUGCUGCUUAAUUAGGGAUCCUUUCCUAGGUCAUAUUGAUGUAGCAGUCUUGUGUAUGGGCACGACCUUUGAUAUAGCAAGGGACAAAAUAUAGAUUGGUUGUCACAGAUGGCUAGAGCCUAGAAGAUUGGUGAAAUAAAUAAAAAAUCUACAAACUCCAGUAGGUGAGACCUUAGGCAAAAUCGAUACUCUCAGCUACAAUUUACAUGCAAUCCAGACCAAAGAGUCAGAGAAGUCGGAAUUUGGAAGAGAGUUGACAGAGACAGUUCGAUCCCAAAAAUACAGGAAGCUGCAAUUUGAAUGUAAUGUUUUAAAAACAGAGUAAAAGGCACGAGACUUUAAUUAAAUGUUUUUGACUUGCAACAAGGAGCCAAGACCGGGACUCCAUAAUCAAACAAUUCAUCUUGGACUCCUCAAGUCUCAACCCAAGCCAAUCAAAAAAUAAGUGUGUCCUCACACGAUUGCACUAUCCCUAGUUUCACACGAACCACGGGGCUAAUACAAUCUAAGGCAUUUAAUCCAUUUAGAUGUUUUAUAAACCACGAAAGCAUUUAGAUUUGGUAAGAUAUCCCAUUCAGGAUAUGAGUACAUGACUUCCUAAAGAAUGAGGUCAAGUCAUGGCGAAACUGCAAUUAACUAGUUCUCAACGAAGCUAAAAGUCAAGAGAUAAGCUCAAUACUUAUUACUUAUCCUUUAAAAUAUGGAUGCUUGCUUCAAACUGAGCUUGUAAAGAUAAUCUCAACUUUAUGUGGAAUGUUACCUGGAACAGAUAGAUUAACCAGACCUGAAAAGAGAUGAGGAAAACAAAAGAUUAGUUAUAUUAAUAUUUUAUUAAUGUGGAAAUCUUAUUUGGUUCAAUUUCCAAAAUAUCAAUAACAAGAAGAAAAAAAAUUACAAACACCAAAUACAAGAUAGUUUAGUUGCUGUAAUCUUUAUAUCUAGAAUGUGUCCUCAGUCCUCACUGACUAAUUAACAUAGCUAAAUCUUGUUCACUGAUGAACGAUGAUAAUGAGAUUAGUAAAUAAUAUAGAUAACAUGAGCAGAGAGAAGUAGCAGCAUCUAGAUUUUAAAGGUGUUCCUCUGUCCCUAUAUACCGAGUAAUCCUCCUAAAUGCAUCAAUUUUCUCUUUUACUAGACUCUAAGUUGUUUAUAUAGUAACAUUAAGAACCACGCACUGGUCAAGACAAGUCUAUAUAUCAUGUGCUAGUCCUAAUGAUAAUAGCUAGAGUAGAUAAUAAGUUAAAACAACUUCUACAAAUGAAAAAACCAAGAUUAGUCAUCAGUAUAUAUAUACGAAGCAUAUAGAAGAAAAUAUGAAUGUUACCCACACUCAGUUGGGGCUGUGGGUGUCGAACAUUGGUAAAAAUCAACUCGACAUAUACUUAAAUUUCAAAAAAUAUUAGAAUCUAGAACUGGACAAGAAUGCCGGAACUCAGGAUGCAAGGGUAACCCAUAAAAUUUUAUAUAUUCUUAAUUUUUGGACCAUUGGAAAUAUAAUCUAUUACCCCCAAAUAAGAUGGACUUGCAUCUAUAUAAAAAUAUAUGACACAUAUUUUCAAAAAAAUAAUUCAAAAACGAGUUGCCUAGGGGCCUUCAGUUACUAUAUAUGAUUGCCUAGGGGCCUUCAGUUACUAUAUAUAAUUGCCUAGGGGCAUCUAAAUCUUUAUAGAAAUUCCCAGAUAUACUUGUCAAAAUUGAACAUUCUACACGAUCAGGCAGAUUAUCAUCCAGAAUUGAACUAUCAGUUGAUAAUAUUUUUCCAAAUAAAUGACUUCUUAGUCAAUUCCCUCAACUUGUACCGGCUAGUAAGAAGUAUACAAAUUAUCUAUGGGUAUGCUGGGAUAUAAAGAUUUUAUUUCAAAUGAUGUUUUUCUUCCAAACGAUUUUGGAUUUAGAUUAGAUAAAGAGCACCUAAAUAUCAAUUUAAAAUGACAACACAAUUCACGAACAACUCCACAUUUAACACAAUUAUAUGAUAUUUCACAAUGACAUAGGUAAUUGUCACAAAAUUCACAAAUUAGGCCCUAAAUGUUGAUAACUAUCACUAUAAUACAUAAAAUUUAACAAAAAUCUAAACUUAAAAGAUGAGCACCAUAACAUUAUUAAGUCAAUANCAAUCAAAAAAUAAGUGUGUCCUCACACGAUUGCACUAUCCCUAGUUUCACACGAACCACGGGGCUAAUACAAUCUAAGGCAUUUAAUCCAUUUAGAUGUUUUAUAAACCACGAAAGCAUUUAGAUUUGGUAAGAUAUCCCAUUCAGGAUAUGAGUACAUGACUUCCUAAAGAAUGAGGUCAAGUCAUGGCGAAACUGCAAUUAACUAGUUCUCAACGAAGCUAAAAGUCAAGAGAUAAGCUCAAUACUUAUUACUUAUCCUUUAAAAUAUGGAUGCUUGCUUCAAACUGAGCUUGUAAAGAUAAUCUCAACUUUAUGUGGAAUGUUACCUGGAACAGAUAGAUUAACCAGACCUGAAAAGAGAUGAGGAAAACAAAAGAUUAGUUAUAUUAAUAUUUUAUUAAUGUGGAAAUCUUAUUUGGUUCAAUUUCCAAAAUAUCAAUAACAAGAAGAAAAAAAAUUACAAACACCAAAUACAAGAUAGUUUAGUUGCUGUAAUCUUUAUAUCUAGAAUGUGUCCUCAGUCCUCACUGACUAAUUAACAUAGCUAAAUCUUGUUCACUGAUGAACGAUGAUAAUGAGAUUAGUAAAUAAUAUAGAUAACAUGAGCAGAGAGAAGUAGCAGCAUCUAGAUUUUAAAGGUGUUCCUCUGUCCCUAUAUACCGAGUAAUCCUCCUAAAUGCAUCAAUUUUCUCUUUUACUAGACUCUAAGUUGUUUAUAUAGUAACAUUAAGAACCACGCACUGGUCAAGACAAGUCUAUAUAUCAUGUGCUAGUCCUAAUGAUAAUAGCUAGAGUAGAUAAUAAGUUAAAACAACUUCUACAAAUGAAAAAACCAAGAUUAGUCAUCAGUAUAUAUAUACGAAGCAUAUAGAAGAAAAUAUGAAUGUUACCCACACUCAGUUGGGGCUGUGGGUGUCGAACAUUGGUAAAAAUCAACUCGACAUAUACUUAAAUUUCAAAAAAUAUUAGAAUCUAGAACUGGACAAGAAUGCCGGAACUCAGGAUGCAAGGGUAACCCAUAAAAUUUUAUAUAUUCUUAAUUUUUGGACCAUUGGAAAUAUAAUCUAUUACCCCCAAAUAAGAUGGACUUGCAUCUAUAUAAAAAUAUAUGACACAUAUUUUCAAAAAAAUAAUUCAAAAACGAGUUGCCUAGGGGCCUUCAGUUACUAUAUAUGAUUGCCUAGGGGCCUUCAGUUACUAUAUAUAAUUGCCUAGGGGCAUCUAAAUCUUUAUAGAAAUUCCCAGAUAUACUUGUCAAAAUUGAACAUUCUACACGAUCAGGCAGAUUAUCAUCCAGAAUUGAACUAUCAGUUGAUAAUAUUUUUCCAAAUAAAUGACUUCUUAGUCAAUUCCCUCAACUUGUACCGGCUAGUAAGAAGUAUACAAAUUAUCUAUGGGUAUGCUGGGAUAUAAAGAUUUUAUUUCAAAUGAUGUUUUUCUUCCAAACGAUUUUGGAUUUAGAUUAGAUAAAGAGCACCUAAAUAUCAAUUUAAAAUGACAACACAAUUCACGAACAACUCCACAUUUAACACAAUUAUAUGAUAUUUCACAAUGACAUAGGUAAUUGUCACAAAAUUCACAAAUUAGGCCCUAAAUGUUGAUAACUAUCACUAUAAUACAUAAAAUUUAACAAAAAUCUAAACUUAAAAGAUGAGCACCAUAACAUUAUUAAGUCAAUAUAUAAAGGGUCUUUCUAGUGUGUGCCCAUGGGCACACAUUAAGCACUAAAUUUGAUAAAUUUGGUGGAUUUUGAUUGGUGGACUUGAUGCAUAUGCAGGGGGGUCAUCCUUAUUUAUGAUUAGAUGACCAAUAAAAAUGCACCAAACUUAUAGGAGUUGGUGCUUAAUGUGUGCCCAUGGGCACACCAUAGAAAAACCGAUAUAUAAAUUAUGCUCCAAAAGUAUGUUAAUCGCCAACUCAUAGAUACAAGUUGAGUCAACAACCAAACCUAUCCCAAAUCCCCAAAUCAACACAACCAAAGCUAAGCAAGUUCAACACAUUCAUAAAGCGUAACAAACAUAAACUAAAGCACGCAUGUUUGCCAAAGAUUAUCAAAUAUCAAUUAUAGGAGUACUAGACAAAACUACAAAAUCACAUAUAAAUCAGCAAUGAUAUCACAUUUACACCAAUCCAAGUAAACACAAUACAAAUGCAGAGAGAGAGAGAGAGACAGGGAGAACACAUUUUGCCCCAAGAUAAUCAAUUACACCAAACAAAAGCACAACAUUGCACAUAAAAAGUCAAAGGGUCAUCCAAGAUAUCACAUUUACAGCAAUCCUGGGAGAGAGAGAGAGAGAGAGAGAGAGAGAUGUACCAGGAGCAAUCUUGAGGAGAGAGAGAGGAGGAGGGCAAUGACAAUCACAAACAGGACAAGCAGAAGCAGGUCCUCUAAAAGAGAGACUAUCUUUCUUGAACUUGGAAUAAAGAGCAGGCCCACAAACACAGAGAGCAGAAACAGUGGCAAACACAACCAAACAGCUCCUCACCCAUGUACCACUCGAACCACUUCGCCGAGACAUUUUGAUCAAAACACCCUUGUAAUACCCAGAUCAGAUCUACUGGUUUGUGUUGAG